AUGAACAGCCGUAGAGGGCAUCCAUUUCUUUCUUCUUAUGUUCCUCAGAAAGAGUUACUGAAAAAUGCUUGUCCCUUUGCCGAAGUACCUGUACAGUCAUUCCGACAAGCUACUAUCAAUGAGCCAUCCCUUAGUCUUAGUCCAAUAGCUAACUUGGCUGGAGUAAGCGGAAUCGCCAGGAGCGGAAGAUGCUCUACUUCCGAGGAAGUAGAAAGACAGAGGAAAGGCAGUGAAGGUUACCCAGGGUUUGCGUAG
This is a non-coding RNA of Vicia faba (fava bean), 255 nucleotides long. The record is from the annotation of a GenBank genome assembly. NCBI's taxonomy places the organism in Eukaryota, Viridiplantae, Streptophyta, Magnoliopsida, Fabales, Fabaceae.